RNAcentral lists this ribosomal RNA (412 nucleotides) under uncultured Latescibacterota bacterium. Its description in RNAcentral is "bacterial SSU rRNA". It matches the Rfam family "Bacterial small subunit ribosomal RNA", at positions 973 to 1382 of the family's 1533-position model. Lineage: Bacteria; Pseudomonadati; Candidatus Latescibacterota. The record is from RNAcentral.
ACCUGGCCUUGACAUGGUAGGAACCUUAAGAGAUUAGGGGUGCUAGCUUGCUAGAACCUACACACAGGUGCUGCACGGCUGUCGUCAGCUCGUGUCGUGAGAUGUUGGGUUAAGUCCCGCAACGAGCGCAACCCUUAUCCCCAGUUGCCAUCAGGUAAAGCUGGGAACUCUGGGGAGACUGCCGGUGAUAAACCGGAGGAAGGCGGGGAUGACGUCAAGUCCUCAUGGCCCUUACAUCCCGGGCUACACACGUGCUACAAUGGCAGGUACAGAGGGCUGCGAAGCCGCGAGGUGGAGCGAAUCCCAGAAAACCUGUCUCAGUCCGGAUUGAAGUCUGCAACUCGACUUCAUGAAGGCGGAAUCGCUAGUAACCGCGAAUCAGCAGGUCGCGGUGAAUACGUUCCCGGGCCUU